RNAcentral lists this ribosomal RNA (678 nucleotides) under Selaginella heterostachys. Its description in RNAcentral is "partial 26S large subunit ribosomal RNA". It matches the Rfam family "Eukaryotic large subunit ribosomal RNA", at positions 408 to 1085 of the family's 3401-position model. The record is from RNAcentral. Lineage: Eukaryota; Viridiplantae; Streptophyta; Lycopodiopsida; Selaginellales; Selaginellaceae.
CUGGGAGGGAAGCGGAUGGAUGCCUUGGUUGCCCGUAGGAUGUGCGUGGAACGGCCCCUCGGGGCUGGUCCGCCGAUUCAUCUUGUGGGCUCACCAGCGUGGGGGGAGGCGGCUGGACAAUGACCGGGGCUUGUUCCCGGUUGAUGCUGCUGUCUCCCUCCGGGCUACGGGCGGCGCGCCUCUUUGAGGCGGACUUCAACGUCCGGCGCUGCCCGGAUGCUGGUGGCACGGUUUUUCCAUUCGACCCGUCUUGAAACACGGACCAAGGAGUCUAACAUGUAUGCGAGCCUGCGGGUGUAAAACCUUGCUAGGCGUAAGGAAACUGAUCAGUGGGAUCCCCUCGGGGUGCACCAUUGACCGACCUUGAUCUUAUGUGAAAGGUUCGAGUGAUAGUAUACCUGUUAGGACCCGAAAGAUGGUGAACUAUGCCUGAGCAGGGCGAAGCCAGAGGAAACUCUGGUGGAGGCUCGUAGCGAUACUGACGUGCAAAUCGUUCGUAUGACUUGGGUAUAGGGGCGAAAGACUAAUCGAACCAUCUAGUAGCUGGUUCCCCCCGAAGUUUCCCUCAGGAUAGCUGGAGCUCUCUUUGAGUUUUGUCGGGUAAAGCGAAUGAUUAGAGGCAUCGGGGGUGAAACACCCUCGACCUAUUCUCAAACUUUAAAUAGGCAAAGUGUCGGG